UCCCGACCGAUGCACAC
RNAcentral lists this ribosomal RNA (17 nucleotides) under Anopheles gambiae (African malaria mosquito). Its description in RNAcentral is "partial 5.8S ribosomal RNA". The record is from RNAcentral. Lineage: Eukaryota; Metazoa; Arthropoda; Insecta; Diptera; Culicidae.